ACCGUUCACAAUGCGUCUCAUUUUCCUGGUAUCCACCCUGCUACUAGUGACAACCGCCAUUUCCGACACCCGUGUGUUUAUUGGAGAACUGUUUGAGCACAACCUUGGAGACAACUACACCAUUGCUACUGGAAAGGAUUCCGGCCCACUUCCUUCAUGGCUCAUGGUUCGCGACCAGACGCUAACGGGUAUCCCAACUGAAAACGACGUUGGCAGGCACACUGUCAUGG
RNAcentral lists this small RNA (230 nucleotides) under Caenorhabditis elegans. RNAcentral describes it as "Unclassified non-coding RNA T21B6.18". The record is from RNAcentral. Lineage: Eukaryota; Metazoa; Nematoda; Chromadorea; Rhabditida; Rhabditidae.